Molecule: ribosomal RNA, 495 nt
Filed under: uncultured prokaryote
Description: partial 16S ribosomal RNA
Source: RNAcentral
CCCUAUGGGGCGCCAAUACGGGGGGCUUUGAGGCAGAUUCCGGAUGGAUCUGGCUCGGGGGUGUUGUCGAGUCAAACAUUUACUUUUCCAAGAUGAAUGUUCCCGUCGCCAUUUCCAUUCCGGCUAAGAUGGUGAUGGAAUGCCAGAAGGGGGAAAUCUAUGCCGGAAACAUGGCCUCCUGCCGGGCCUGGAUCGAGAGCCAGGACGAUCCGAACGUAGCGGAACUAUGGUCCAAUUACGGUUAUACCCUGGGGGUGAAAUUCAGGGAUAUCUUCACCGAAACGGAGUUGGCCGACGUGGGCAAGGAGUUCGCCCUGAAGAUCAGCAAGCACGGUGCCAUGCCCCUGGGCAGCAAUCUCAUCUGCGGCAUUGAUUAUCUUGAAUAUGCCUCUUUCCCCGUCAGCGAGUUUAUUCCCGAUACGAAAACGAUCCAGAAGGUGGCCAAGAAGAUCGUCGGCGCUGCCGACAUCGGCACGGUGCGCCUGGCGGGAGAGC